This 503-nucleotide ribosomal RNA is filed under the name uncultured bacterium. Its description in RNAcentral is "partial 16S ribosomal RNA". It matches the Rfam family "Bacterial small subunit ribosomal RNA", at positions 30 to 523 of the family's 1533-position model. The record is from RNAcentral.
AUUGAACGCUGGCGGCAGGCUUAACACAUGCAAGUCGAGCGGGGUGAUGGUGCUUGCACUAUCACUUAGCGGCGGACGGGUGAGUAAUGCUUAGGAAUCUGCCUAUUAGUGGGGGACAACAUCUCGAAAGGGAUGCUAAUACCGCAUACGUCCUACGAGAGAAAGCAGGGGAUCACUAGUGACCUUGCGCUAAUAGAUGAGACUAAGUCGGAUUAGCUAGUUGGUGGGGUAAAGGCCUACCAAGGCGACGAUCUGUAGCGGGUCUGGGAGGAUGAUCCGCCACACUGGGACUGAGACACGGCCCAGACUCCUACGGGAGGCAGCAGUGGGGAAUAUUGGACAAUGGGGGGAACCCUGAUCCAGCCAUGCCGCGUGUGUGAAGAAGGCCUUAUGGUUGUAAAGCACUUUAAGCGAGGAGGAGGCUCUUUUGGUUAAUACCCAAGAUGAGUGGACGUUACUCGCAGAAUAAGCACCGGCUAACUCUGUGCCAGCAGCCGCCGUAA